GCCUGACUCUGCCUGUCCUCAUAAACUGUAAUUAAGAGCGCGGACCUGAUUUAAACUCCAUAUUUUUAGUAAGUAACGUUCCAGCAAUAAAACAGAGCUUUUAACUUGAAAGAACGAAAUCUGUUUUAAUGAUGUAAAUAAACAUCACUGUGACAGCGCUAGUCACAGUUUCACCGCAGCAAAGCCUGUACUGAUUUCUGCCCCCAAUAACCCGUUCAGUAACUUCCAAUAGCCUUUAAUAGUCUUCAGUAGCCUUCAACAGUCUAACCUGGCGGUCGUGUCAACUAAACUCCGUAGUUAUAAACAUCCUGAGGUGAAUAAAUAUUUGAUAAGGAUGUUUUCUGUUGCUGCUUGGGGCAAAAACCAAGGAUUCCCAGCAGAGCAAAAUGAAACUAUAGUCUGGCAUCCCCGGGCUCCUACUGCCAGGGCCCCUACUGCCAGGACCCCUACUGAAAGGUCCCCUACUGCCGGGGAACCUACUGGUGGGAUCACUGUAGUGGUUGACACGGCGCGUUGGAGAUAUCAGAAACAGUCGAGAAAAACAAUCGGGGUCAUUCAAAUGAUAUAUGGGGUGGUUUUUCUUGGGUUUGGAAUUGGCUUUUUAGUCUUCGCCCCGGCUGCUCUCUAUAUUGGAUUUCUUAUCUUCAACUGUCUGUCUCACUUCCUCGCCGGCUGUCUAAGUAUUGCAUCACCACUGAACAAUUCCAAUCCCUUUUUUGGAUGUCAACAUCUGUAUUCGGUGAAAAACUCUGCGUGGGCAAAUGUAAUCAGUGUUGUAGCUACAACAAUCCUGAUUGUUCUACUGCUUUUUGACUUUAUCAUGGAUUUUGGAUAUGAGUGCAGCGGAUUAUGGGAUUAUGACUGCAUAGAAGCUAAGCACCGGAUUCAUGUGCUCACAGGAUUCCUGACGGUGUUCACGUUCUUUGCCUGCUUCAGCUCCGUAAUGUUCUUAGGGAACAGAUUAAAAGGCUACUGCCCCGAAGCAACGGAAUCUGUUGUCAGUGUGCCUCCAACCCAAUCAGCCCACGCUUCAGCGCCCACUGCAUUCCAAGACUACACAGAUCAACGGAACUCGUGUUACAGUGAUUAUGGAACAACAGCGAUGGAUGUGCACAACACAUGUUCAGACGAUCCUCCAUCAUACGAUGAAUGUGUCCAAACAGACUGGCAAUGAAGAAGUUCUGAGAAGUCCUGAGAUGCUGUCAAGAUGCUUUUUUUCAGGUUAUAACCUCUUAAAUUAAUGUAUAUGUAUAAAUGUUCAUCACUGCUGUCAUAUUGAUCCCUUAAAUGUGCACAAUUUUCAUUAGAAUCUUUUCCAGCAUUUAAAAAAUGUGAGUAUUGCAAAACAAAUGGCCAAAGGGAAUGACUGUAAGUCAUGUAAGUGUACUGUAAAAAAAAACUAAGCGCCCUAAGUGCUGAACAAUAGUCGCUGCUUUUUUUUCACACUGUGAAGCUCCAGCUCAUCCCAAAUCACCAUCUUAGCUUAGGGUUUAGGUCAGGAGAUUGUGGAGAGUUAACACUUAUUUUGUUAACUACAUAAUUCCCUAUUUGUCCAUUAAUUGAUUUUAUACACAGUCUUUUAUAUUACAAUUCAGAAUGUGUUACAAUUCAGAAAAUACAUUAAAGAAAAAAAAAACAAGAAAAAACAUUAAAUGCUAAGGUGUGUCUAAACUUAUAUAUUACACGUAUUGCUUUACUGGUUGCGUUGUUGCCAUAUUGUUUAAAGUGUCUGUGUCAUUUGUGUCAUGUUGUAAGUUUUGUUGUAACUUUUGCUUUAAAUAAACUUAAACCUGAAAAUUCUCUUUUAUUUUUU
RNAcentral lists this long non-coding RNA (1813 nucleotides) under Astyanax mexicanus (Mexican tetra). RNAcentral describes it as "lncRNA (ENSAMXG00005021085.1)". Lineage: Eukaryota; Metazoa; Chordata; Actinopteri; Characiformes; Acestrorhamphidae. The record is from RNAcentral.